This 301-nucleotide ribosomal RNA is filed under the name uncultured bacterium. RNAcentral's name for it is "partial 16S ribosomal RNA". It matches the Rfam family "Bacterial small subunit ribosomal RNA", at positions 509 to 808 of the family's 1533-position model. The record is from RNAcentral.
CAGCAGCCGCGGUAAGACGAACCGUGCGAACGUUAUUCGGAAUCAUUGGGCUUAAAGCGCGUGUAGGCGGAUGGGAACGUCGGUCGCUGAAAUACCCCGGCUCAACCGGGGAACUGGCAUCGAAACGACCCGUCUCGAGGGGCAUAGGGGGAGCUGGAACUUCCGGUGGAGCGGUGAAAUGCGUUGAGAUCGGAAGGAACGCCCGUGGCGAAAGCGAGCUCCUGGAUGUCUUCUGACGCUGAGACGCGAAAGCUAGGGUAGCGAACGGGAUUAGAGACCCCGGUAGUCCCUGUCUCUUAUA